CCCCUAGAUGUUCUGGGCCGCACGCGCGCUACACUGAACAGUUCAACAAGUCUUAACCUUGGCCGAUAGGUCUGGGUAAUCUUUGAACGCUGUUCGUGAUUGGGAUAGACCUUUGCAAUUAUGGGUCUUCAACGAGGAAUUCCUAGUAAACGCAAGUCAUCAGCUUGCAUUGAUUACGUCCCUGCCCUUUGUACACACCGCCCGUCGCACCUACCGAUUGAAUGGUCCGGUGAAAAUUUCGGAUACCGGCAUUGCUGGCGGUUCGCCGCCGGCGACGCUGGUAGAAGAUCUUUAAACCUUAUCAUUUAGAGGAAGGAGAAGUCGUAACA
Molecule: ribosomal RNA, 329 nt
Filed under: uncultured eukaryote
Lineage: Eukaryota
Description: partial 18S ribosomal RNA
Rfam family: Eukaryotic small subunit ribosomal RNA
Source: RNAcentral